UACGUAGGGGGCAAGCGUUAUCCGGAUUUACUGGGUGUAAAGGGAGCGUAGGUGGUAGUGCAAGUCAGAUGUGAAAGCCCGUUGCUUAACAGCGGGAUUGCAUCAGAAACUGUAUUACUAGAGUACAGGAGAGGUAAGUGGAAUUCCUAGUGUAGCGGUGAAAUGCGUAGAUAUUAGGAGGAACAUCAGUGGCGAAGGCGGCUUACUGGACUGUAACUGACACUAAGGCUCGAAAGCGUGGGGAGCAAACAGG
RNAcentral lists this ribosomal RNA (253 nucleotides) under uncultured bacterium. RNAcentral describes it as "partial 16S ribosomal RNA". It matches the Rfam family "Bacterial small subunit ribosomal RNA", at positions 524 to 776 of the family's 1533-position model. The record is from RNAcentral.